AGUGAACGCUGGCGGCAGGCCUAACACAUGCAAGUCGAGCGGCAGCGCAGCAGUAGCAAUACUGUGGGCGGCGAGCGGCGGACGGGUGAGGAAUACAUCGGAAUCUACCCAGUCGUGGGGGAUGACGUAGGGAAACUUACGCUAAUACCGCAUACGACCUGAGGGUGAAAGCAGGGGACCGCAUGGCCUUGCGCGAUUGGAUGAGCCGAUGUCGGAUUAGCUAGUUGGUGAGGUAAAGGCUCACCAAGGCGACGAUCCGUAGCUGGUCUGAGAGGAUGAUCAGCCACACUGGAACUGAGACACGGUCCAGACUCCUACGGGAGGCAGCAGUGGGGAAUAUUGGACAAUGGGCGCAAGCCUGAUCCAGCCAUGCCGCGUGUGUGAAGAAGGCCUUCGGGUUGUAAAGCACUUUUGUUGGGGAAGAAAACCUGUUGGUUAAUACCCGGCGGGAGUGACGGUACCCAAAGAAUAAGCACCGGCUAACUUCGUGCCAGCCGCCGCCGUAA
RNAcentral lists this ribosomal RNA (506 nucleotides) under uncultured bacterium. RNAcentral's name for it is "partial 16S ribosomal RNA". It matches the Rfam family "Bacterial small subunit ribosomal RNA", at positions 29 to 523 of the family's 1533-position model. The record is from RNAcentral.